This 22-nucleotide microRNA is filed under the name Oryza sativa (Asian cultivated rice). RNAcentral describes it as "osa-miR7693-3p". The record is from miRBase by way of RNAcentral. Lineage: Eukaryota; Viridiplantae; Streptophyta; Magnoliopsida; Poales; Poaceae.
GACGUCCAUCGAUGAAGAGCGA